RNAcentral lists this transfer RNA (74 nucleotides) under Balneolaceae bacterium. Its description in RNAcentral is "tRNA-Arg". It matches the Rfam family "tRNA". Rfam says of the family: Transfer RNA (tRNA) molecules are approximately 80 nucleotides in length. Their secondary structure includes four short double-helical elements and three loops (D, anti-codon, and T loops). The record is from RNAcentral. Lineage: Bacteria; Pseudomonadati; Balneolota; Balneolia; Balneolales; Balneolaceae.
GCGCCCGUAGCUCAACUGGACAGAGCAACUGCCUUCUAAGCAGUAGGUUUCAGGUUCAAGUCCUGACGGGCGUA